Molecule: long non-coding RNA, 296 nt
Organism: Camelus dromedarius (Arabian camel)
Lineage: Eukaryota; Metazoa; Chordata; Mammalia; Artiodactyla; Camelidae
Exons: 3
Source: RefSeq, a predicted model, not a curated record
UCAAGAAAGGAGUUUUGGUUUCAACUUGGACUGGAUUUUCUGGAUGAAUUUUCUGGAUGACUUUAAAAUGCUGUCAUCUGCCUGUGUAGAACUAACAUCAGGUCCUGGAACCAACCCCCUGUGGAUACUGCGGGAUGACUGUACAGUUCUUCGCUGGAGGUGCUACGCUAGAGAUAUUUGGAGGCAACUCCCGUGUCCCCCGAGCCUUCUCCCAGCUAAACCUCUGCAGAUCCGUCACCGCUUUCUCCUGUGGGUCCGAGUCAUCCCGCACCAUUAUCUAGAGAUGCUCCAGUUCG